RNAcentral lists this long non-coding RNA (842 nucleotides) under Chrysolophus pictus (golden pheasant). RNAcentral's name for it is "lncRNA (ENSCPIG00010001517.1)". The record is from RNAcentral. Lineage: Eukaryota; Metazoa; Chordata; Aves; Galliformes; Phasianidae.
AUGGGGAAGGAUGUGUGGGCCACCGUGCCCCCCCACGAUGGUGCCACUCGCCUCCACAGAGAUGCACACAGAUGGGAUCAGGCUGCUGCUCAUGACUCCUUCCCGGGAUGCUGGUGGGAAUGCAGAACCAGCUCACUGCUCACCGUGCCACAUCCCUGCCCAUCAGGAUGGAAAACAGGGCAGCAGCAGAGUUUGUAUGGGGAAAGAUACACAGCCUCAGCUCCCGAGUCAUCUUGCUUUUGGAGGGAGAAAGAAGGGGGAAGGGCGGGGAGACAUCAGUUCCCCAGGGUAACAAGGUCAAGGUGUCUCAAUGUGACGACGAGAUGGACGUCCCCAGCGACUGCUCCGGGUGGCCCCCACCCACCACACCCGUGUCCAACACGGUGUCACCAAGACGCCUGCCAGGUGUCAGCGGGGAGCCCCAUCCACGCUGGACCCCAUCCGUGGGGCACAUCGCCCACAGCCGGCUCGAUGCAAGGAGGGACAAGGCGGCAGACAAGGCUCGGUGCAGCAUUGCCCUUCGAUGGGCAGGCGACGGUGGCGGGUGACAGUCUGGUGGCACGUGGUGGGGUCUGUACAGCGUAACUGGCGACAAGAAUGAUCCCGGCAGGUGGGAGACGUGGCCGUCCUCGGCCCUUUGGCGCCGCUCCCCGUCCUCCGGCGUUGUGCCCGUCUGACGGAGAGGAGUCCCCGGGCGGCCGUCCCGGGACCCUCCACUCCCUUAUCAAAAGUCGAGGAGGAGGCGAGCGAGGAGGGUGGCCCAGAGGCAGAGGCCAGCGGCCGCCCGGGAGGCUGCGUUGCCACUGUCGUGCACCGCUCCGGGCCCUGCACCAGGGGGAGAA